UUAUUUGAAAAACCCUAAUUCCUGCCUGUCCCCCUGGGCCUCUCAUAGUGUCCCAUGCCAGAGCAAACUGUGACCCCGAACCAUUGCCUGGCCUGUGCCCAUAGGCUCCUGGCACUGAAGCGGGUUGCACAGUG
Molecule: small nucleolar RNA, 134 nt
Filed under: Microcebus murinus (gray mouse lemur)
Lineage: Eukaryota; Metazoa; Chordata; Mammalia; Primates; Cheirogaleidae
Description: Small nucleolar RNA SNORA42/SNORA80 family (ENSMICG00000021193.3)
Rfam family: Small nucleolar RNA SNORA42/SNORA80 family
About the family: The members of this family belong to the H/ACA class of snoRNAs that guide the sites of modification of uridines to pseudouridines. Human ACA42 (SNORA42) was cloned from HeLa cells by immunoprecipitation with anti-GAR1 antibody. Its is predicted to guide the pseudouridylation of residues U109 and U572 of 18S rRNA.
Source: RNAcentral